Molecule: transfer RNA, 53 nt
Filed under: Billbergia pyramidalis
Lineage: Eukaryota; Viridiplantae; Streptophyta; Magnoliopsida; Poales; Bromeliaceae
Also listed under: 3 other names
Description: partial tRNA-Phe
Rfam family: tRNA
About the family: Transfer RNA (tRNA) molecules are approximately 80 nucleotides in length.
Source: RNAcentral
GUCGGGAUAGCUCAGUUGGUANAGCAGAGGACUGAAAAUCCUCGUGUCACCAG